GAUGAACGCUGGCGGCGUGCCUAAUACAUGCAAGUCGGGCGAACAGACGAGGAGCUUGCUCCUCUGACGUUAGCGGCGGACGGGUGAGUAACACGUGGAUAACCUACCUAUAAGACUGGGAUAACUUCGGGAAACCGGAGCUAAUACCGGAUAAUAUAUUGAACCGCAUGGUUCAAUAGUGAAAGACGGUUUUGCUGUCACUUAUAGAUGGAUCCGCGCCGCAUUAGCUAGUUGGUAAGGUAACGGCUUACCAAGGCGACGAUGCGUAGCCGACCUGAGAGGGUGAUCGGCCACACUGGAACUGAGACACGGUCCAGACUCCUACGGGAGGCAGCAGUAGGGAAUCUUCCGCAAUGGGCGAAAGCUUGACGGAGCAACGCCGCGUGAGUGAUGAAGGUCUUCGGAUCGUAAAACUCUGUUAUUAGGGAAGAACAAAUGUGUAAGUAACUAUGCACGUCUUGACGGUACCUAAUCAGAAAGCCACGGCUAACUACGUG
Molecule: ribosomal RNA, 497 nt
Filed under: uncultured bacterium
Lineage: Bacteria
Description: partial 16S ribosomal RNA
Rfam family: Bacterial small subunit ribosomal RNA
Source: RNAcentral